UGGGGAAUCUUGCACAAUGGGCGAAAGCCUGAUGCAGCAACGCCGCGUGCGGGAAGACAGCCCUAGGGUUGUAAACCGCUUUCAGCAGGGAAGAAACUGACGGUACCUGCAGAAGAAGAUGCGGCCAACUACGUGCCAGCAGCCGCGGUGACACGUAGGCAUCAAGCGUUAUCCGGAUUUAUUGGGCGUAAAGAGCUCGUAGGCGGUUCGGUAAGUCGGGUGUGAAAAUCUCUGGGCUCAACCCAGAGAGGCCACUCGAUACUGCUGUGACUAGAGUGCGGUAGGGGAGCGGGGAAUUCCUGGUGUAGCGGUGAAAUGCGCAGAUAUCAGGAGGAACACCAGUGGCGAAGGCGCCGCUCUGGGCCGUAACUGACGCUGAGGAGCGAAAGCAUGGGUAGCAAACAGGAUUAGAUA
This 414-nucleotide ribosomal RNA is filed under the name uncultured bacterium. RNAcentral's name for it is "bacterial SSU rRNA". It matches the Rfam family "Bacterial small subunit ribosomal RNA", at positions 355 to 784 of the family's 1533-position model. The record is from RNAcentral.